Molecule: ribosomal RNA, 250 nt
Filed under: uncultured bacterium
Lineage: Bacteria
Description: partial 16S ribosomal RNA
Rfam family: Bacterial small subunit ribosomal RNA
Source: RNAcentral
UACGUAGGGUGCAAGCGUUGUUCGAAAUCACUGGGCGUAAAGCGCGUGUAGGCGGUUUGUUAAGUCUAAUGUGAAAGCCCCGAGCUUAACUCGGGAAGUGCAUCGGAUACUGGCAAACUAGAGGACAGAAGAGGGAAGUGGAAUUCCUGGUGUAGGGGUGAAAUCCGUAGAUAUCAGGAGGAACAUCAGUGGCGAAGGCGGCUUCCUGGUCUGUUUCUGACGCUCAGACGCGAAAGCAUGGGGAGCAAAC